Molecule: ribosomal RNA, 463 nt
Filed under: uncultured bacterium
Lineage: Bacteria
Description: bacterial SSU rRNA
Rfam family: Bacterial small subunit ribosomal RNA
Source: RNAcentral
AGUGAACGCUGGCGGCAGGCCUAAUACAUGCAAGUCGAACGGCAGCACAGCAGAGCUUGCUCUGUGGGUGGCGAGUGGCGGACGGGUGAGGAAUACAUGGGAAUCUGCCCAGUCGUGGGGGAUAACGUAUGGAAACGUACGCUAAUACCGCAUGCGCCCUAAGGGGGAAAGCCGGGGACCGCAAGGCCUGGCGCGAUUGGAUGAGCCCAUGUUCGAUUAGCUAGUUGGCGGGGUAAAGGCCCACCAAGGCGACGAUCGAUAGCUGGUCUGAGAGGAUGAUCAGCCACACUGGAACUGAGACACGGUCCAGACUCCUACGGGAGGCAGCAGUAGGGAAUAUUGGACAAUGGGGGCAACCCUGAUCCAGCCAUGCCGCGUGAGUGAAGAAGGCCCUCGGGUUGUAAAGCUCUUUUGUCCGGAAGAAAAGCAAUCGGUUAAUACCCGGUUGUCCUGACGGUACCGG